GACGCGAGCAGACCUAAGUUGAUGGUUGUAUGAAACCAGGUGAAUAGUUAAGUGGGCAUUGUCCCGGUGUUAGGUCUGCUCACAUCAGCAACCUAAGUUGAUGGUUGUGUGAAACCAGGUGAAGAGCUAAGUGGGCAUUGUCCCGGUGUUUGUUUUUAUUUUGCAUUCAGUGUUUUGUUUGUUUGUGUUGUCUGUUAAACCUGCUGGUAACUUAUAAGAAAAUAAAAAAAAUAAAACAUUUUGGAGCUAUGUGCUGUGGGUCAGGAAGCAGAAGGUGAGAGCAGGGUGCAAGAUGCAUAACUUGCAGAAGUAUGUGCUGGCUCGGGAUGCAGGGAGGAAGGAUGAGCCAGUUCAUCGUCUCCCACAUCCAGGCGCUGCUGCAUCUUUGGACCCUGCUGGUACAUCUGAUGCUGACCUUUCUGCCACUGCAAUGGAGGUCGACUCGUUUUGUCAGGGACACCCCAUCAGCUGUGCCCCCCCCCUCUCUCGCCGUACCCCCGCAGACACCGGUAUUUCAUCCUGCCACGGCCAUGAAUCUGGCUCGGCCUGAUGUGCCGCAGUCAGUCUCCGGCAUACAGCUGCUGCCUCGGGCUGAGAAGGCACCCUGUGAGGGUCAUCGUGCGGCGUGGCUUCAUGAGCUGUCUCUGUGCUUUCCUGCAGGACGCAGUCGGGCCAGACGGUCACGGCGGCUACCAUCUCGUCGUGGCCCUGGCACACGCCCUCGUGGACCUGCGUCACCGCACCUUUGUAACCCAACGGCAGGCCAGAGAAAUUAUCGCUCUCUGGCAGAAACUGUCUGACCGGGACAAGGCAGCGGUGUUCCCCUCCCGCUACCUUCUUAAGACGAGCCAUCCAGCCAGUGUGAGGCGUGCUGUCCUGGGCCAGGGCGCGGGGCCGGCACAUUCUCCCAAGACCAGCAGACUUAUGGAGGCCAUCCUGCUGGAACUGUGCCGCACGCACCUCCACGACCGGACUACGAUCGCCGGGGUCUGCAUCCGUUGCUGGGGUGCCGUCAUGAGGGACUACAGAAUAAUCAAGAACAAUCUCUACACCAAUCCUACCCUCGUGGCGAGCACCCGCAUCCAGCUUUUCGUCAUUAGCCAACUGACCCUUACGCAAUGGCACAAUCAGAGGAACCAGGCGAUGAUGAGGGACACCAUCACCAUGGCAAUACCGGGGCCCAGCGCAUCCCUGACAGCAGCAGAGCCCCUGUCUGCCCCACGUACCCUGCUGCAGCGGCCCGAGCAGCCAGACCAGCCUUCCCAACACCGCCUGCCCGCGGAUGCCUCUGGUCUGGCUUCCACCAUCAGAGGGCCGCUGGCCCCGGAGCUGUAUGCCCUCAUCAUCGCCCGUGCUGGCUUAUCCUCCUCCUCAGCCUCAGCAACCCUGUCCACCAACGCUGGUGCCAUGAGCGCCCCCUCCACAGCCACCACUGCUCCAUCUGCCAGCUCCUCCGCCCCUGCUGGAGCAGUUCCACGCUCCACCGCCUGGAGGUGGAAGGUCCAGCAGGAGAAGGAGCGUUGUGCCUGGGAGGAAGGCAAAGACAUUAAAGACUACAAGAAGGCCUCCCACUUCACCUGCAGGCUCUGUGGCCAACCAAAGACUAGACAAUAUGGCCACAGCCGCUACAGGAGGGAGGUCUUCUGCACCCGGGCCGACGGGAGGACUGUGGAGCAGUGGCUGGCGGACAAAAAACGGCAGGAGGGGGCAGCUCAACCCCCCCUCCCCCCUAGAUAUGUAAAUAGUGUAAAUAGUUAGUGUAAAUAGUUAGUGUG
Molecule: long non-coding RNA, 1775 nt
Organism: Clupea harengus (Atlantic herring)
Lineage: Eukaryota; Metazoa; Chordata; Actinopteri; Clupeiformes; Clupeidae
Source: Ensembl